RNAcentral lists this long non-coding RNA (461 nucleotides) under Anser brachyrhynchus (Pink-footed goose). RNAcentral describes it as "lncRNA (ENSABRG00000018606.1)". The record is from RNAcentral. Lineage: Eukaryota; Metazoa; Chordata; Aves; Anseriformes; Anatidae.
GCUAACCACAGCCUUCCCUGUGCCUCUGCCUCCCUGCAGACACAUAAGAAGGUGAUUGCUUGUGGUAGGUUUCAGAACAUUGCAAAAUUUGCUGGAGAGAAAGGGUUAUUUGUGGGAUCCUGAGUGGUACCUGUUGCCAUGCCCUUGCCUGUCCCAUCACCUCCAUCCCAACAGUGCCAGGGGCCUCCGAUCAAAUUUUGUCCAUGUCUGACCCAACCUACCAGAUUUUGAAGCAAAUGUUUUCGUGCCUGCCCACGCAAACUGCAAGGAGGACAACACAAGAAAAUAAAUGAAAGUGCCAGGAAAAUUAUUUUUUUGGCAGGGGAAGGGGAGGUAAUUUCUUUUUACUGUCUAUUUUAUGAUUUUAUUGAAGUUUGCAGCCAGGAGUUACAUGUCACGUUUCGGUGAUCUGACAUGCAAGCAGCAAUAAAUAAUGACGUUGGUUCUAUUUUUAUGAUGAU